CACAUGCAAGUCGAGCGGAUGAAGGGAGCUUGCUCCUGGAUUCAGCGGCGGACGGGUGAGUAAUGCCUAGGAAUCUGCCUGGUAGUGGGGGAUAACGUCCGGAAACGGGCGCUAAUACCGCAUACGUCCUGAGGGAGAAAGUGGGGGAUCUUCGGACCUCACGCUAUCAGAUGAGCCUAGGUCGGAUUAGCUAGUUGGUGGGGUAAAGGCCUACCAAGGCGACGAUCCGUAACUGGUCUGAGAGGAUGAUCAGUCACACUGGAACUGAGACACGGUCCAGACUCCUACGGGAGGCAGCAGUGGGGAAUAUUGGACAAUGGGCGAAAGCCUGAUCCAGCCAUGCCGCGUGUGUGAAGAAGGUCUUCGGAUUGUAAAGCACUUUAAGUUGGAAGGAAGGGCAGUAAGUUAAUACCUUGCUGUUUUGACGUUACCAACAGAAUAAGCACCGGCUAACUUCGUGCCAGCAGCCGCGGUAAUACGAAGGGUGCAAGCGUUAAUCGGAAUUACUGGGCGU
Molecule: ribosomal RNA, 514 nt
Filed under: uncultured Acinetobacter sp.
Lineage: Bacteria; Pseudomonadati; Pseudomonadota; Gammaproteobacteria; Moraxellales; Moraxellaceae
Description: bacterial SSU rRNA
Rfam family: Bacterial small subunit ribosomal RNA
Source: RNAcentral